GCUUGAAAUUUGGGGGGAUUUUGGGGGUCCAGGAUGUGAAAGGAGGGGGGCGUAGAGCUAGAGUACAUAGAUGUGCGGGUUCUACCCCUGAACACAUGAUGUUUAAAUCUUUAAAAGUCAGAUGAUCAUUUGUAAUUUGGAUAAAUCAAUCAUUAGACUAUAAUAAUUUAAUUUGCACUUACUUCCAUUAUCUGCUUUUAUUUGCAAGUGAUUCAGAUUUUUGAUUGUGUAAACAUGGAAAAGUUCGCAUUUGACGAUUUUGUAAGAAUAUUCUGUCAUAUCGGAUAAAACCCUCAUAGACACAGAAACUGAUUUCAGCUCUGAAGAGGUGGAUCUCCUCUCUAGUUGUUGUAUUUCUAUGGGAUUAGCCCCCCUACAUUCACCCUCUCUAACAGGAUGUACACCAGCUGUAGCCGCCUCCCUCCAGGAUCUCAAACACUCACCCCUCAUUUCUCCUCCCCUCCUCUCUCUCCGUGUCCCCUCAUUUCUGUUAUUAUUAGAUUUACUGAAAUAAUUUUACUGAAUGACUCUUUUUAUUCUAUCAAAUAUAAUUCUGCACUUUGGUUUGUAAAUAAAACUGAAGCUCACAUCCAGAUCUGCCACUAAAAUUAGGUCUAUUUAACAUUUAUGGCCUUUAAUAGUAUGUUUUUUUUAAAUAAUUAUCUCUCAGUUUAAGUGAGUAUAAGUGAAGAUACUGUGGUUGUUUGAUUAAAAUCUGGACUCAAUAACAGUCGUCGUCAACGUCGUUUUCUUCCGCUUCAUCAGGGUCCGGGUCGUGGGGGCAGCAGCUUCAGGAGGGAAGCCCAGACGGCCCUCACCCAGGCCACUUCCACCAGCUCCUCCGGGGGGAUUCCUAGGCGCUCCCAGGCCAGGCGAGAGAUAUAAUCCCUCCACCUGGUCCUGGGCCGGCCAUGAGGUCUCCUUCCAAUUGGACACGUCCGGAACACCUCUAACGGGAGGCAUCCAGAAGGCGUCCUAACCAGAUGCCCGAGCCACCUCAGCUGACUCCUCUCGACGUGGAGGAGCAGCGGUUCUACUCUGAGCGCCUCCCGAGUGUCCGAGCUCCUUACCCUAUCUCUAAGGCUGAGCCCGGACACCCUGCAGAGGAAACCAAUUUCGGCCACUUGUAUCUGCGAUCUUGUUCUUUCGGUCAUUACCCAAAGUUCAUGACCAUAGGUGAGGAUCGACAUGUAGAUCGACCGGUAAAUCGAGAGUCUCGCCUUAUGGCUCAGCUCUUUCGGUUAAGUGUCAGCAUCACUGCUGACACCGCUCCAAUCCACCUGUCGAUCUCCCGCUCCAUCCUACCCUCACUCGUGAACAAGAUUCCAAGAUACUUGAACUCCUCCACUUGAGGCAGGACCGCCCCUCCGACCUGGAGAAGGCAAUCUACCUUUUGCCAACCGAGGACCAUGGCCUCGGAUUUGGUGUUGCUGAUUCGCAUCCCAGCCGCUUCACACUCGGCCGUGAACCGCCCCAACAAGAGCUGAAGGUCACUGCUCAACUAAGCUUGAAGCACCACAUCAUCCGCAAAAAGCAGUGACGCCAUCCUCUGCUUGCCGAACUGGACGCCCUCUACCCCCCGGCUGUGCCUAGAAAUUCUGUUCAAUAACAGUUUUAAAGGAAUUUAUAGAAGCAUUUUCUUUUAACAAGAAGUAAAAGUGAUAAUAAACAAAUAUUCAAACACUUUUUUAAAGUUGAUAUUGUGCUGCUGGAGUCCCACUUACAUUAAAGUUUAUUAUCAGUGAAAUAAUUCCCUUAAAUGUACAUAAAGAAUCAAAGUGUUCAUUCUGCAGUAAAGCGUCUCCUGUGACUGAUUUAUUAUUAAUGAUGACAUUAAUACAUUAUUCAUACUGGUGCAUCAUGUUUGAGCUGCAUGUUAGUGUUUUAUCGUUAAGAGGUAAAUCUGCUUUGAAUCACUGUCCUUUAAAUAUAGGCCCACGGUUCUCAACCUGAGGGUCAGGCCCCCAUAAAAAGUCACUCAAUGAAUCCAAAAAGGGGCAGAAAGGUUAUGAGGGAAGACUCAAACAGGUUGUUCUUUCCUUUCCUGCUGCUGAGAGGGUCCUUAUGAUCCAUGUCCAGAAAAAGAUUCAAUCCAAACACUUCAUACUCACAAAGAUCCACGGAUUCAUGUCAUUCUUUAAAGGCCGUAUGAAUUUGCUCAAGUUGUCUGUGAUCCAUCUUACCAUGUAAGAACCGAUUCGGAUCCUUCUGAUCCUUCCUUCGGUCAGUGUGUUUACAUGCACAGCUUAAUCAGAAUAAGUGCUGGGCAGCACAGUGGUUUAUUGGUUAGCACUGUCGCCUCACAGCAAGAAGGUGGAGUAUGCGUGUUCUCCCUGUGUCUGUGUGGGUUUACUCCAGGUACUCUGGUUUCCUCCCACAUCCCAAGAACAUUCAGAGGUGGGGUUAGGUUAACUGGCCACUUUCAGAUUGUCUGUAGGUGUGAAUGUGAGUGGGGAUGGUUGUUUGUCUCUAUAUGUCAGCCCUUCGAUGAACUGGCGACUUGUUCAGGGUGUCCCCUGCCUUUGCCCGAAGUUGCUGGGAUAGACUCGAGCACCCCCGUGUCCCCCAACCGGAAUAAGCGGUAGAAAAUGGAUGGAUGGAUGGAUGUACGUACGUGCUACUUUUUCUGCAGAUGAGAUGAACGCUACUCCUCUUCUCUGGUGUUUUUGUUCCGGGGUUACGGGGGCAUGGCGCACGCGCAUAUGCAUUGUCCGAGUACGCUGGUUACUUGGUAGAGAAAAUCGAAUUCCUAUCGCAUUAUCUGGGUGUCUUAAUCAGAGUUCUCAAACCCUGAUUAUAGUCGGACUAAGGUGUUUACAUGACCUUCAGUUGUCCGGUCUUAAUCAGAAUAAGGCGAUAAUUUGGUUUUCUCAAGUGUGAUGUAAACGUAUUGACUGUUGCACCAACUUCAGUGCAAGUCAAUUAUUGGCAUACUGGCGCUGCAUCUUUCAUGAAUCCCAUCCUCCCCAUGGCCAAUUUUACAUCCUAUAGAUGUUUCAGCAGCUAAUUUGUAUCAUUUUCAAGUUUUUUUGUGUACAUUGUGUGUGUUUGUGGGAUACAGGUACAUACAGGUGUUAGAGGAACAGCGGCAUAAAACUACCCUAAACUACCUAUUACUACCCUAAAUCUGUCGCUGAGUUUAAUAUUAGGAAAAACUGAACAAUCAGGUAUAAACUGUUAAAAGUAGUGAGCAUGUGUGAGUGUGUUUAUGAGCUCUGACCUGAGCUGUGUUGACUGUGGUGAAUAAACAG
This 3251-nucleotide long non-coding RNA is filed under the name Xyrichtys novacula (pearly razorfish). Lineage: Eukaryota; Metazoa; Chordata; Actinopteri; Labriformes; Labridae. The record is from RNAcentral.